RNAcentral lists this ribosomal RNA (440 nucleotides) under uncultured bacterium. RNAcentral describes it as "bacterial SSU rRNA". It matches the Rfam family "Bacterial small subunit ribosomal RNA", at positions 338 to 795 of the family's 1533-position model. The record is from RNAcentral.
CCUACGGGAGGCUGCAGUGGGGAAUAUUGGACAAUGGGCGCAAGCCUGAUCCAGCCAUGCCGCGUGAGUGAUGAAGGCCUUAGGGUUGUAAAGCUCUUUUGUCCGGGAAGAUAAUGACUGUACCGGAAGAAUAAGCCCCGGCUAACUUCGUGCCAGCAGCCGCGGUAAUACGAAGGGGGCUAGCGUUGUUCGGAAUCACUGGGCGUAAAGCGCACGUAGGCGGACCAUUAAGUCAGGGGUGAAAGCCUGGAGCUCAACUCCAGAACUGCCUUUGAUACUGAUGGUCUCGAGUUCGGAAGAGGUUGGUGGAACUGCGAGUGUAGAGGUGAAAUUCGUAGAUAUUCGCAAGAACACCAGUGGCGAAGGCGGCCAACUGGUCCGAUACUGACGCUGAGGUGCGAAAGCGUGGGGAGCAAACAGGAUUAGAUACCCCGGUAGUC